CGAGCGAAUGGAUUAAGAGCUUGCUCUUAUGAAGUUAGCGGCGGACGGGUGAGUAACACGUGGGUAACCUACCCAUAAGACUGGGAUAACUCCGGGAAACCGGGGCUAAUACCGGAUAAUAUUUUGAACUGCAUAGUUCGAAAUUGAAAGGCGGCUUCGGCUGUCACUUAUGGAUGGACCCGCGUCGCAUUAGCUAGUUGGUGAGGUAACGGCUCACCAAGGCGACGAUGCGUAGCCGACCUGAGAGGGUGAUCGGCCACACUGGGACUGAGACACGGCCCAGACUCCUACGGGAGGCAGCAGUAGGGAAUCUUCCGCAAUGGACGAAAGUCUGACGGAGCAACGCCGCGUGAGUGAUGAAGGCUUUCGGGUCGUAAAACUCUGUUGUUAGGGAAGAACAAGUGCUAGUUGAAUAAGCUGGCACCUUGACGGUACCUAACCAGAAAGCCACGGCUAACUACGUGCCAGCAGCCGCGGUAAUACGUAGGUGGCAAGCGUUAUCCGGAAUUAUUGGGCGUAAAGCGCGCGCAGGUGGUUUCUUAAGUCUGAUGUGAAAGCCCACGGCUCAACCGUGGAGGGUCAUUGGAAACUGGGAGACUUGAGUGCAGAAGAGGAAAGUGGAAUUCCAUGUGUAGCGGUGAAAUGCGUAGAGAUAUGGAGGAACACCAGUGGCGAAGGCGACUUUCUGGUCUGUAACUGACACUGAGGCGCGAAAGCGUGGGGAGCAAACAGGAUUAGAUACCC
This 744-nucleotide ribosomal RNA is filed under the name Bacillus sp. PTJT-14. RNAcentral describes it as "bacterial SSU rRNA". It matches the Rfam family "Bacterial small subunit ribosomal RNA", at positions 63 to 787 of the family's 1533-position model. The record is from RNAcentral. Lineage: Bacteria; Bacillati; Bacillota; Bacilli; Caryophanales; Bacillaceae.